This is a long non-coding RNA of Mya arenaria, 618 nucleotides long. RefSeq lists it as uncharacterized. Lineage: Eukaryota; Metazoa; Mollusca; Bivalvia; Myida; Myidae. The transcript is spliced from 5 exons. The record is from RefSeq and is a predicted model, not a curated record.
UGAGAAUAAUGUUUUUAUGGCGUAUGGACUAUGGUCUGCCGAUUAAAUAUGCCAACGAACUAAAUUUCGAUUAGAAAUAAUCGAAAACGUCUUCCUUUGUCAAUGUCAAAGAUAGUAGAUUUGAAUAACCAGUUUCACUUCUGAGGAAUAGCAAAAACUGUGAGUCAUCUGUUAGACAUGCCGAGCAGUGAACAGGUACAGACUAUUUACGGGAUACCGAUGAGGCAACAAAACCUUACCCGUUUCAAGAUCAAGAAGAAUGGUGAAACCACCACACAGAUAUCCAUACAAAUCUGUCGAAGCUCAGGAAAAAACAAUUUUUUUGGGAAGAACACUCCAGUGAAAGGCUGCCACUGUCAUUUGAUGGGGUACCAUUCAUGAUCCUAGGUAGGGAGGUGCGGGAAUGCUGCCAUGGUCCGGACAGGCACCGAGCAGAGAAAAUAAAGGCAGCCCAAACAAGGAAUUUAGGAAAGGCUGACCAUGCGUAUAGUGCACAAGGGCGGAAAUUAAUCCAGACAACAACAAAAAUGAAUUGUCCAGCUGCUAUUCAUGUGAGGUCCAUUUUGCGUUUCCCAUCUUAUAAGACUGAACACAACUCUGAAUGGGCCAGAAGAAAAC